GAUGAACGCUGGCGGCGUGCCUAAUACAUGCAAGUCGAGCGAACAGACGAGGAGCUUGCUCCUCUGACGUUAGCGGCGGACGGGUGAGUAACACGUGGAUAACCUACCUAUAAGACUGGGAUAACUUCGGGAAACCGGAGCUAAUACCGGAUAAUAUAUUGAACCGCAUGGUUCAAUAGUGAAAGACGGUUUUGCUGUCACUUAUAGAUGGAUCCGCGCCGCAUUAGCUAGUUGGUAAGGUAACGGCUUACCAAGGCAACGAUGCGUAGUCGACCUGAGAGGGUGAUCGGCCACACUGGAACUGAGACACGGUCCAGACUCCUACGGGAGGCAGCAGUAGGGAAUCUUCCGCGAUGGGCGAAAGCCUGACGGAGCAACGCCGCGUGAGUGAUGAAGGUCUUCGGAUCGUAAAACUCUGUUAUUAGGGAAGAACAAAUGUGUAAGUAACUAUGCACGUCUUGACGGUACCUAAUCAGAAAGCCACGGCUAACUACGUG
Molecule: ribosomal RNA, 497 nt
Filed under: uncultured bacterium
Lineage: Bacteria
Description: partial 16S ribosomal RNA
Rfam family: Bacterial small subunit ribosomal RNA
Source: RNAcentral